UCCGGGUCCGUGCGCCUCGGAGUCCGCGCACUCCGGAGCUCGAGCCGAGGCUGGGCGUCCACUUCUGGACCUCAGCGGUGUCUCCCAGAGCCUUUGGAGAGACGUCUUCCUCUGUGGCCCAGCCACGGUCCCUGCAGCAAACGGCCUUCGCCAGCUCCGCUUGGCUCCAGGACCGCCCUGAGAACAUUCACUGCCCACGUCGACCUUGCGCGUGAUAAAUCAUGAGCGAUCGCUGCUCCUAGAAGGGCGUGCAGCUCCCGGCUCUGGCCAGGCCGGGUGCUCUGGUCAAUAAAACCAGCCUGAUUCCUGCGCCCCCGCGUGUGACCCU
This is a long non-coding RNA of Fukomys damarensis (Damara mole-rat), 328 nucleotides long. The record is from Ensembl. NCBI's taxonomy places the organism in Eukaryota, Metazoa, Chordata, Mammalia, Rodentia, Bathyergidae.